This 800-nucleotide ribosomal RNA is filed under the name uncultured bacterium. RNAcentral's name for it is "bacterial SSU rRNA". It matches the Rfam family "Bacterial small subunit ribosomal RNA", at positions 28 to 804 of the family's 1533-position model. The record is from RNAcentral.
GACGAACGCUGGCGGCGUGCCUAACACAUGCAAGUCGAACGGAGAAUUUUAUUUCGGUAGAAUUCUUAGUGGCGAACGGGUGAGUAACGCGUAGGCAACCUGCCCUUUAGACGGGGACAACAUUCCGAAAGGAGUGCUAAUACCGGAUGUGAUCAUCGUGCCGCAUGGCAGGAUGAAGAAAGAUGGCCUCUACAAGUAAGCUAUCGCUAAAGGAUGGGCCUGCGUCUGAUUAGCUAGUUGGUAGUGUAACGGACUACCAAGGCGAUGAUCAGUAGCCGGUCUGAGAGGAUGAACGGCCACAUUGGGACUGAGACACGGCCCAAACUCCUACGGGAGGCAGCAGUGGGGAAUCUUCCGCAAUGGACGAAAGUCUGACGGAGCAACGCCGCGUGAGUGAUGAAGGAUUUCGGUCUGUAAAGCUCUGUUGUUUAUGACGAACGUGCAGUGUGUGAACAAUGCAUUGCAAUGACGGUAGUAAACGAGGAAGCCACGGCUAACUACGUGCCAGCAGCCGCGGUAAUACGUAGGUGGCGAGCGUUGUCCGGAAUUAUUGGGCGUAAAGAGCAUGUAGGCGGCUUAAUAAGUCGAGCGUGAAAAUGCGGGGCUCAACCCCGUAUGGCGCUGGAAACUGUUAGGCUUGAGUGCAGGAGAGGAAAGGGGAAUUCCCAGUGUAGCGGUGAAAUGCGUAGAUAUUGGGAGGAACACCAGUGGCGAAGGCGCCUUUCUGGACUGUGUCUGACGCUGAGAUGCGAAAGCCAGGGUAGCGAACGGGAUUAGAUACCCCGGUAGUCCUGGCCGUA